Molecule: non-coding RNA, 95 nt
Filed under: Amycolatopsis methanolica
Lineage: Bacteria; Bacillati; Actinomycetota; Actinomycetes; Pseudonocardiales; Pseudonocardiaceae
Also listed under: 1 other name
Description: Glycine sequence
Rfam family: Glycine riboswitch aptamer
About the family: This family represents the bacterial glycine riboswitch. Glycine riboswitches usually consist of two metabolite-binding aptamers domains with similar structures in tandem.
Source: RNAcentral
CGAGCCGGAGCGGGAGAGUCCUCAGGUCAGCACUGGGGCGCCGAAGGAGCAACUUCCCCGCCAAUCUCUCAGGUACCAGUUACCGCUCCGCGCCA